This 616-nucleotide long non-coding RNA is filed under the name Zea mays. RNAcentral describes it as "long non-coding RNA (ZMAY_LNC000004)". Lineage: Eukaryota; Viridiplantae; Streptophyta; Magnoliopsida; Poales; Poaceae. The record is from RNAcentral.
CGCGUCCACCCAAAAAUGCCGUUCGUCUACUGCCGGAGCACGCGAAGCCGCCCUCUGACGUCAGCUAGGCUGGAAAGCCGACGGUAAGCUCUUCUCCCCCGCUCAGUACGUAAGCCGCUUGGUUUGACCGAUUAAUCGCCGAUUGUCCGUUAAAUUGGGCGGCUAGCUACCAGCUUACACAGUCAUCACGGCUUAGAUGAGCCAUCGGCUAAUCGAUCGGCUUUGUCCGAUUACCGAGCGUGUGGCCCGAUUAAUCGUCCAGAGAGGCCGAUAAGCCGGCCUGUCGAGUAGGGGAUAUGGUUAGGAAGAUUUUUUCAGUUUGGGCUUCAAAUCCUUUGAAAUCAGCACCGCUACUUGUUAUGUAGGCUAAUAAUACUUGAAAUAGUAGUUGUUGUUGCUAUUUUCAGGGUUGUCGGAUUGGAUCGAUCCAGUAUGGCUACACGAGGACGACAAAUAUUCUGGAUUCAAGUGCAAGUACUGCAGGAAACAAUAGAAGAGGGUGGUGCUACACGUUUCAAGCAACACCUUGCAUCGCGUGGGAGAAUAUGCAAUGUUGUCGCAACGUUCCGUGGGUUACUGCUAAAUGUUGUUAUUGGACUUGCGAUAAUGUUUAGGG